GUGGCUCUAGCUCAGUUGGAAGAGCGGCCGGUUGAAGCCCGGCAGGUCUCAGGUUCGAUUCCUGGGAGUCACA
Molecule: transfer RNA, 73 nt
Filed under: Actinomadura sp. KC216
Lineage: Bacteria; Bacillati; Actinomycetota; Actinomycetes; Streptosporangiales; Thermomonosporaceae
Description: tRNA-Phe
Rfam family: tRNA
About the family: Transfer RNA (tRNA) molecules are approximately 80 nucleotides in length. Their secondary structure includes four short double-helical elements and three loops (D, anti-codon, and T loops).
Source: RNAcentral